RNAcentral lists this ribosomal RNA (398 nucleotides) under uncultured bacterium. RNAcentral's name for it is "partial 16S ribosomal RNA". It matches the Rfam family "Bacterial small subunit ribosomal RNA", at positions 523 to 918 of the family's 1533-position model. The record is from RNAcentral.
AUACGUAGGGUGCGAGCGUUGUCCGGAAUUACUGGGCGUAAAGAGCUCGUAGGUGGUUUGUCGCGUCGUCUGUGAAAUUCCGGGGCUUAACUCCGGGCGUGCAGGCGAUACGGGCAUAACUUGAGUACUGUAGGGGAGACUGGAAUUCCUGGUGUAGCGGUGAAAUGCGCAGAUAUCAGGAGGAACACCGGUGGCGAAGGCGGGUCUCUGGGCAGUAACUGACGCUGAGGAGCGAAGGCAUGGGUAGCGAACAGGAUUAGAUACCCUGGUAGUCCAUGCCGUAAACGGUGGGCGCUAGGUGUAGGGGUCUUCCACGACUUCUGUGCCGUAGCUAACGCAUUAAGCGCCCCGCCUGGGGGGUACGGCCGCAAGGCUAAAACUCAAAUGAAUUGACGGGG